CUACGGAGGAUGCGAGCGUUAUCCGGAUUUAUUGGGUUAAAAGGGUGCGUAGGCUGUGCGUUAAGUCAGGGGUGAAAUGCCGUCGCUCAACGACGGAGCUGCCCUUGAUACUGGCGUGCUGGAGUACGGAUGCCGUUGGAGGAAUGAGUGGUGUAGCGGUGAAAUGCUUAGAUAUCACUCAGAACACCGAUUGCGAAGGCAUCUGACGAAUCCGUCACUGACGCUGAGGCACGAAAGCGUGGGGAUAGAACAGGAUUAGAUACCCUGGUAUUCCACGCCGUAAACGAUGAUGACUAACCGUCGGCGAUAGACAGCCGGUGGCCAAGCGAAAGCGAUAAGUCAUCCACCUGGGGAGUACGUCGGCAACGAUGAAACUCAAAGGAAUUGACGGGG
Molecule: ribosomal RNA, 393 nt
Filed under: uncultured bacterium
Lineage: Bacteria
Description: partial 16S ribosomal RNA
Rfam family: Bacterial small subunit ribosomal RNA
Source: RNAcentral